CCUUACUCCUCUCUUCCUUGCUGUCUCUUCUGACAAAUUCCAAUCAGUAGGGCUCACAUGUCAGGGCUUUUUUUUUUUUUUUUUUUUUAGCCUAUCUGCAGGGCAGGGUGAAGGUUCAGGCAGACGGCUGUGAUUUGAUCAAUGAAGGAGACACAUGGGGUGGCUGAGCGGUGCAGGGCGGGGAGCUGGGCUGGAAACUGCCUCAGCUCCUGGUCCGUCCUCUGGGAAUGGGGCCCUGGGCAGCCUUGUAUGAUGGAUUUUCACAAUUGGGCAACUGGAGGGACCGUAGAGGUGAUGAAAGGAGGCUCUUGGAGAAACAAUGUGACUGGUUCAAGGUUACUCAGCCAGAACGGGAACCCAGUCUCCGGAUUUGCCUGUGUCCUGUCUCUUUCUCACUUCCAAAUUCUGGAUUCAUCACUGUUCUGUGUGGGGACAGGGUGAGGACCAACUCAUAUCCUGGAGCCUUUUGGGGGGCAUUGCUAUCUUGAGAAGAGAUGUCAGUGGCAACCCUUUUCUCUUUUCCAGGUACGAUUGCAGUCUGGGAGGCCUGUGAGAGGCUGGCUGUCCUUGGCUGCCCAGGGUAACACCCGAGACCUCAGAUCUGGACGUAAGGGGGUUCUGGGCUUCAGCGGGCAAUACACCCAGCCUCUAUGACAUGUGCUUCCCACUGCCCCCUUCUGCCUCCUCUUUCUCUUCUUUGUACCUGCCCCACCCCUCACCAGGGGCCACCAGGCUUGCUGUCUCUGCAGCCCACAGCCCCACCACAUCCUGCCCCAUCUAAGCCACCCCCAUCUCCCCAGGUAAAGAGGAGGAUGAGCCCAGCUGUCCCUCAUCCCCUCCCCAACCCUCCAGCCUCCACUGUUAGCACUCUAGCCCUUUGGAGUCCUGGGAAGAGGGGAGACGGUGGGGAGGGAGUGCUGAUGGGGAAGGGGGCCAGGCUGUAGGCUACAACCCAAGCUCCAGGAGGCCUCUGGGAUGGGGCUUUGGGAACAGUGCCCAGCUUGGGGCCUGCCUCUGGCCAGAGCUCCUGGAAAACUGCCUCUCUGGCCUCCAGACCUGGGGAGGAGCCAAAUUCUGAAGCACUGCCUCUCCAGCUCUGGCCUCAGCCGCCUCCUCUGGCUCCAGCAGAGCUCCCAAUCCCAGCAAAGUCGGGGGAAGAGUGGAUUUCUAACUCUGGCACUUGGUGGGUGUGGAUUUUUCUGUCUCCACAUCUGGGAUUGAGAAGUUGAGACCUGUAAGCUGGUGACCUUUGCUCCUCCAGAGUUCUGGGCCCCCCUGAAGGAUGGGUUCCAUCCACCCUCCGUCCCUCCAGGGUCCCCAUCCUCCCCUCCCCUUCCCCCAGUGUGGCUCAGAUCAGUCUAUUUCAGAAAAGGGAACUGGGUCUUCGAAGGGAGUGUUUAGCUGGAGGUCUUGGGGGGAAGAUAUCUUUGGGGCGAUGGGAUAGUAAAGCUGUCCGCAGGUUCUUUCCUAAUGUCACAUGUGAAGCCAACGGGUUCUUUUCUCAUCUCACAUAUGAAGAUUUACACGCAUGGGUGUGGGCACAUAUGUUCCAGAUCCAGUAACCUCACAGUCUUCGCUUCUCCUGGGUGGGGAUAUUGGAAGUGAAGUGGGGAAUGCAGGGUAACCUGCUUUUCCAAAAGUUUUAAUUGAAAUGGAUAAAGGAAUUCAGAGAAUACCUGUGGCUUUCUAGGGUCACUCAGCAGAUGGAGAGGGUGAUCAUCAGCUUAAAGAAGACCAAAUUUGUGCCUGGGUCUAUUUCUUUCCAGUAAAUGCCCAGUGACUCCACCAGAACCCCAGGUCCUGGGUUUGGGAAGGGCUAGGCUUGCUGAGGGGCAUUUGGGAAAGGAAAGAGAGCUUUCCUUGGCAGGCUGGACACCUCACCUGGAAAAUGACGAGGAGGGCCACCACCAACACGUUCUUCAUUGGCUUCCCUGAAGGAGACAAGCCAUCCUAGUGGGUGUGACGUGGUUUUGCUUUGUGUUAUCCUAACGACUAAUGACGGGCUCCUCCCUCCUCUUCCUUGAGCACAAGGAGGUUUUCUGCUCCAUGAUUGUUUGCAAGGACUCCACAGGCCCAGGCCCUCCUGGCCAGGCCAGCAGGCGAGCAGUUUACACGGAAUCCAAGCGCUCAGCGGGGAGCAGAUCAAGGCUGAGUGUUUUCCCCAGCUGCUGAGGAAGGGAUCGUCUCUUCAAGGGCAGAAAAUGAAAGAUAAAGCCAGACUGUGAUGUGAGUUCAAGGUGGACCAUUUUUAUUGGAAGAAUGGGGAAAGACUCCAUGUAGCAGAUAACAACAGUUAACAAAUUGAGCCUCCACCUCUGCUGGGCACUCUUCAAGCUUUACGCAGUAGUCUCAUUUACUCCUCACACCAACAACAUGGCUUGUCCCUCAUGAGGAGCCUAGAAUAUUACCCCUCACCCCCAAAGGGUGUUGCACAGAAGACCAACUGAAGCUACCACGAUUGCUGCAAAUUCUCAACAUCUCAGAUUCCACUGGGUUCUCUGCCAAAAUGGUAGUCAACAGCCCAACCCAACAGUUUUUCCAACUUGACUCAAACUUUCUUGUCUCGUUUCCUGAUAUUGGGGUUGUGGGGCUGGAGUGGGGGUAGGGAGUGAGAAAGCAAGCUUGGAGGCUUCAUUGUGCCCCCACUAAGUCUUGAGUUCCUGAAGACGGGGCUUUGUCUUCUCCUUUUUAUAUCCCCAGAAGAGAAUGCGGUGCUGGGGAGACAGAUGCACACUGAUGUCUGUCAGAUGAGCGAAUGAAGGUGACUCGGGGGCACUUUCUGAUGCACUGAACGAAUGGCCACACUGAUGGUGUGUCCUGCUGGGCCCUCAGGCAGGAGUCACUCGGCACAGGUUUCAGCUUGUGAAGUCCCCAGAACCCUGUGGGCACAGUUCCUGGGAAAUCUUUCAUUUUCACAUCUUCUAAGCUUCUACAGCAGCUCAGGAAGGGGGAGGUUUUCUUAGAGAGCCCAACCCCUUGAUAUGCUGGGUGGGUUGUUGAAAACCAACCUGGAGAGCAAUCAGAAGAGACCCACUACUCUUUAGGGGGCCCCGGGAUUGUAGAAUGAUGGGGGCCCAGGGAAGGGGGAGACCCCUCUCUUUUUUAUCUUCCAGAGAAGGGUUCAUCUUACUGUAGUGGGUAUUUCUUAAAAGUGGGAUGACAAAGGUGAAGUGUUCAGUUCACACAGAAGAAUUUUCCUCUGCUGAUAGUUUUUCUCCUGUCAUUAAAACACAGAAAAGGAAGAAAAUACAAAGGAAAGAAAUCAUAUAUGUACCAAGAUGCUAACUGUGCUGAAGAAUCUACAGAAACUUAGAGAAAGACAAAUAUCAUAUGAUACCACUCAAUAUGUGGUUAUCAAAUGUGGGUACUCAUAUGUGGCUAUCACACAUGUGUGACAUCACUUGUAAUUGGAAUCUAAAAAACGAUGUAAACCAACUCAUUUACAAGACAAAAAUGGACUCACAGAUUUUGAAAACAAAACUUAUGUGGGGGAGGGGAAGGAUAAAUUCAGAGCUUGGAAUUAGCAUACUACUAUAUA
Cervus elaphus (red deer) is the source of this 3538-nucleotide long non-coding RNA. RefSeq lists it as uncharacterized. NCBI's taxonomy places the organism in Eukaryota, Metazoa, Chordata, Mammalia, Artiodactyla, Cervidae. The transcript has 5 exons. The record is from RefSeq and is a predicted model, not a curated record.